UGCUGUUCCUGCCUUCUCUCUACUCUCCAUGCUUGAGAGUCAGGAGGGGGUGGCUCUUGCUCAUCACCUGAAUGCUGUCUCUCAUGUUCACUGCUUAGCCUCUCUUGGUCCUCCUGCCCCAUUCCUUCCUCAUGCACUCUGCUUUGAUA
Pseudonaja textilis is the source of this 149-nucleotide non-coding RNA. The record is from RefSeq and is a predicted model, not a curated record. Lineage: Eukaryota; Metazoa; Chordata; Lepidosauria; Squamata; Elapidae.